AUCCUGCCAUUGAUGACCAAACCUCCCCGAAAUCUUCUUAUCGGUUGCUGCCAAGAUGAGAAGGACAGCAGGAAAGAGGAGUGUGUUAUUGCUCCCACUAUGCAAGGAAGUUGAACUGUUUUCCUGAGCACAUCCAGAAUUAAUUCAGCCCAAGCUGAUCAGGUUAUCGCAUGCUGGUUACUGCUGGCCUGGGUCGUUCUGAUGGAAGAGCAGGGAGCACACAGAGCAGCUGUAUCAAUGGCUCCCCUGGGAAGGGGUGUUACCAACAGGGGAGUUGUGGAGCUGGUGGUGGUGGUUUGGUGUUUGCAGCAGGUGCAGCUGCGUCUCUAAGUUUUACACAUGUGGAAAAAUACUUUGUUAAAGCAGCUCCUGGGUGAACAGGGGUAAUUAAAGGACUGCGCCGCUUUUAUUGGAGUUGACACAUGCUGCACGUUCUUCAAAACCCAGUAUGUGAGCAGAACGCUUCCAGAAUUUAUUGCCAGUCAGACAAGUAGAGAUACUUUUAAUAGGAGUAAAGAUAAACUUCAGUUUUUACACUGUUAAAUAAAACUGUCUUUAGGAAAGGAACUAUGACUGAU
Molecule: long non-coding RNA, 578 nt
Filed under: Phasianus colchicus (ring-necked pheasant)
Lineage: Eukaryota; Metazoa; Chordata; Aves; Galliformes; Phasianidae
Description: lncRNA (ENSPCLG00000020652.1)
Source: RNAcentral